Molecule: long non-coding RNA, 363 nt
Organism: Asparagus officinalis (garden asparagus)
Lineage: Eukaryota; Viridiplantae; Streptophyta; Magnoliopsida; Asparagales; Asparagaceae
Exons: 2
Source: RefSeq, a predicted model, not a curated record
CUAGUUUGCCACCUCCGUCAGCCCACCCCGCCGUCGCCCCAUGCCAUCGCCUGGCCAGGCCACCGCCGACUCUACUUGGGUUAAGGUGGACAGGAUCAUGCACGCAUCCGAUGCAUUAGACCUAUGAGUUUAUUAUGUAUUGGAUGGAUAAUUUUAUAUGUAAGAGAGAGACAUGACAUGUAUGAAACAACAUGUGUUUGAUGUUUUUAUAUUGUGAAGUGGUAUGUGUAGAUGAUUAUAAGUUGUUUUGCGGAUAGUUUAUUCGUUUGUGAUUGAUCUUGGGUUGUGUAUAUUGGUUGGCUUGUAUCGGAGUAAUUUGAAUAAUAUGGUAUGUGUAUUGGAAUGUGUAUAAUGAUUUGGAUG